This 243-nucleotide ribosomal RNA is filed under the name Providencia stuartii. Its description in RNAcentral is "partial 16S ribosomal RNA". It matches the Rfam family "Bacterial small subunit ribosomal RNA", at positions 884 to 1126 of the family's 1533-position model. Lineage: Bacteria; Pseudomonadati; Pseudomonadota; Gammaproteobacteria; Enterobacterales; Morganellaceae. The record is from RNAcentral.
GGCCGCAAGGUUAAAACUCAAAUGAAUUGACGGGGGCCCGCACAAGCGGUGGAGCAUGUGGUUUAAUUCGAUGCAACGCGAAGAACCUUACCUACUCUUGACAUCCAGAGAAUUUAGCAGAGAUGCUGAAGUGCCUUCGGGAACUCUGAGACAGGUGCUGCAUGGCUGUCGUCAGCUCGUGUUGUGAAAUGUUGGGUUAAGUCCCGCAACGAGCGCAACCCUUCUCCUUUGUUGCCAGCGAUU